This 584-nucleotide ribosomal RNA is filed under the name uncultured bacterium. RNAcentral describes it as "partial 16S ribosomal RNA". It matches the Rfam family "Bacterial small subunit ribosomal RNA", at positions 355 to 937 of the family's 1533-position model. The record is from RNAcentral.
UGGGGAAUUUUGGACAAUGGGCGAAAGCCUGAUCCAGCAAUGCCGCGUGUGUGAAGAAGGCCUUCGGGUUGUAAAGCACUUUUGUCCGGAAAGAAAUCCUUGGCUCUAAUACAGUCGGGGGUGACGGUACCGGAAGAAUAAGCACCGGCUAACUACGUGCCAGCAGCCGCGGUAAUACGUAGGGUGCAAGCGUUAAUCGGAAUUACUGGGCGUAAAGCGUGCGCAGGCGGUUUGCUAAGACCGAUGUGAAAUCCCCGGGCUCAACCUGGGAACUGCAUUGGUGACUGGCAGGCUAGAGUAUGGCAGAGGGGGGUAGAAUUCCACGUGUAGCAGUGAAAUGCGUAGAGAUGUGGAGGAAUACCGAUGGCGAAGGCAGCCCCCUGGGCCAAUACUGACGCUCAUGCACGAAAGCGUGGGGAGCAAACAGGAUUAGAUACCCCUGGUAGUCCACGCCCUAAACGAUGUCAACUAGUUGUUGGGGAUUCAUUUCCUUAGUAACGUAGCUAACGCGUGAAGUUGACCGCCUGGGGAGUACGGUCGCAAGAUUAAAACUCAAAUGAAUUGACGGGGUCAUAGCUGUUUCC